Molecule: ribosomal RNA, 1258 nt
Filed under: metagenome
Description: SSU rRNA
Rfam family: Eukaryotic small subunit ribosomal RNA
Source: RNAcentral
AUACCGGACUCAAUGAGGCUCGGUAAUUGAAAUGAGUACAGUUUAAAACCCUUAACGAGGAUCUAUUGGAGGGCAAGUCUGGUGCCAGCAGCCGCGGUAAUUCCAGCUCCAAUAGCGUAUAUUAAAGUUGUUGCAGUUAAAAGCUCGUAGUUGGAUCUCGGGUACUAGCAUGUGGUUCGCUUUACUGUCGUAACUACAUGUCUGGUCCUAAUUAAUCGGUUGGCCGUUGAUGUCCUUUAUUGGGUGUUUUCGGUAGCCGGUACGUUACUUUGAGAAAAUUAGAGUGCUUAAAGCAGGCUAUCGCCUGAAUAAUGUUGCAUGGAAUAAUAGAAUAGGACCUCGGUUCUAUUUUGUUGGUUUUGUAGAGCAUUGAGGUAAUGAUUAAUAGGGACAGACGGGGGCAUUCGUAUUGCGUUGUUAGAGGUGAAAUUCUUGGAUCGACGCAAGACGAACAACUGCGAAGGCAUUUGCCAAGAAUGUUUCCAUUAAUCAAGAACGAAAGUUGGAGGUUCGAAGACGAUUAGAUACCGUCCUAGUUCCAACCAUAAACGAUGCCAACUAGCGAUUAGCUGCUGUUAAUCAAACGACACAGCUAGCAGCUUCCGGGAAACCAAAGUUUUUGGGUUCCGGGGGAAGUAUGGUUGCAAAGCUGAAACUUAAAGGAAUUGACGGAAGGGCACCACCAGGAGUGGAGCCUGCGGCUUAAUUUGACCCAACACGGGAAAUCUCACCCGGCCCGGACACUGUAAGGAUUGACAGAUUGAGAGCUCUUUCUUGAUUCGGUGGGUGGUGGUGCAUGGCCGUUCUUAGUUGGUGGAGCGAUUUGUCUGGUUAAUUCCGAUAACGAACGAGACUCUAGCCUGCUAAAUAGUACGUCGAUCUUUUGUCGGCGCGUACUUCUUAGAGGGACAAGUGGCGACUAGCCACACGAAAUUGAGCAAUAACAGGUCUGUGAUGCCCUUAGAUGUUCGGGGCCGCACGCGCGCUACACUGAAGGGAUAAGCGUGUCUUUCCUGCUCCGAAAGGAGUGGGUAACCCGCUGAAACCCCUUCGUGAUUGGGAUCGGGGCUUGAAAUUAUUCUCCGUGAACGAGGAAUUCCCAGUAAGCGCGAGUCAUAAGCUCGCGUUGAUUACGUCCCUGCCCUUUGUACACACCGCCCGUCGCUACUACCGAUUGAAUGGUUUAGUGAGAUCUUCGGAUUGGUCCGGAAGUGGCCGCAAGGCUGCCUCUAGGUGCCGAGAAGAUGAUCAAACUUGA